GCAGCCUUAUCGGUGGAUCACU
RNAcentral lists this ribosomal RNA (22 nucleotides) under Howardula sp. SP-B. Its description in RNAcentral is "partial 5.8S ribosomal RNA". The record is from RNAcentral. Lineage: Eukaryota; Metazoa; Nematoda; Chromadorea; Rhabditida; Allantonematidae. RNAcentral also lists the same sequence under 1 other name.